Molecule: ribosomal RNA, 204 nt
Filed under: uncultured bacterium
Lineage: Bacteria
Description: partial 16S ribosomal RNA
Rfam family: Bacterial small subunit ribosomal RNA
Source: RNAcentral
UGGGGAAUAUUGGACAAUGGGGGCAACCCCUGAUCCAGCAAUGCCGCGUGUGUGAAGAAGGUCUUCGGAUUGUAAAGCACUUUCGACGGGGACGAUGAUGACGGUACCCGUAGAAGAAGCCCCGGCUAACUUCGUGCCAGCAGCCGCGGUAAUACGAAGGGGGGCUAGCGUUGCUCGGAAUGACUGGGCGUAAAGGGCGUGUAG